GGUGUUGUAAUAGGGUGUUUGCGGGGUUGCGGAAGAAGAAGAAGAAAAGAAAUUAUUCCUUUGGACGUAUAUACUGCUAGUCGAGGAGAAGUGCUAUCAAUCUAUCCAUAUCGAUCGAUGAAAUCAGCACCGUGUGAAUUACUCUAUUUGUUAUGCACCUAAUUUGCAAAUCAUUUUGGACCUAUUUGCAAAACAGCGGAAGAUGGUGUGAAAACAGCGCCCAGAUAAGGACUUAAAAUGCAAAGAGUGCUCACGUGACAAGACAGUUUAAGAGCUGAUUUG
RNAcentral lists this long non-coding RNA (282 nucleotides) under Citrus maxima (pomelo). Its description in RNAcentral is "long non-coding RNA (CMAX_LNC003973)". Lineage: Eukaryota; Viridiplantae; Streptophyta; Magnoliopsida; Sapindales; Rutaceae. The record is from RNAcentral.